RNAcentral lists this ribosomal RNA (730 nucleotides) under Candidatus Tremblayella phenacoccinincola. RNAcentral's name for it is "bacterial SSU rRNA". It matches the Rfam family "Bacterial small subunit ribosomal RNA", at positions 658 to 1380 of the family's 1533-position model. Lineage: Bacteria; Pseudomonadati; Pseudomonadota; Betaproteobacteria. The record is from RNAcentral.
GGGAUAGAAUUCCAGGAGUAGCGGUGAAAUGCGUAGAUAUCUGGAGGAAUACCAAAGGCGAAGGCAGUCCCCUGGUCCGAUACUGACACUGAGGUACGAAAGCGUGGGGAGCAAACAGGAUUAGAUACCCUGGUAGUCCACGCCCUAAACGAUGUCGAUUAGCCAUUGGAAGGACCCCUUUUCCUUUCAGUGACGUAGCUAACGCGUUAAAUCGACCGCCUGGGAAGUACGACCGCAAGGUUAAAACUCAAAGGAAUUGACGGGGACCUGAACAAGCGGUGAAUGAUGUGGAUUAAUUCGAUGCUACGCGAAGAACCUUACCUACCUUUGACAUGGCCAAAGUUCUACCGAGAGGCGGAAGUACUCGUAAGAGGAUUGGCGCACAGGUGCUGCAUGGUUGUCGUCAGUUCGUGUCGUGAGAUGUUGGGUUCAGUCCCGCAACGAACGCAACCCUUAUCUUUAAUUGCUCCUAUUUUAACAGGCACUUUAAAGAAACUGCCAAUGAUAAGUUGGAGGAAGGUGGGGAUCACGUCAAGUCCGCAUGGCCUUUAUAGGUAGGGCUUCACACGUCAUACAAUGGUUAGAACAAAGAGCUGCAAAUUCGUAAGAAGGAGCCAAUCUCACAAACCUAACCUCAGUUCGAAUUGCGGUCUGCAACUCGAGCGCAUGAAGCCGGAAUCGCUAGUAAUCGUGGAUCAGAAUGCCACGGUGAAUACGUUCUUAGAGAGUU